Molecule: ribosomal RNA, 253 nt
Filed under: uncultured prokaryote
Description: partial 16S ribosomal RNA
Rfam family: Bacterial small subunit ribosomal RNA
Source: RNAcentral
UACGAGAGGCCCAAACGUUAUUCGGAAUUACUGGGCUUAAAGAGUUCGUAGGCGGUAUGACAAGUAGGGUGUGAAAGCCCUCGGCUCAACCGAGGAAUUGCGCUCUAAACUGUCGUACUUGAGGAACCUAGAGGUGAGCAGAACAGAUGGUGGAGCGGUGAAAUGCGUUGAUAUCGGGAGGAAUACCGAUGGCGAAGGCAACUGCCUGGGCCUGAACUGACACUGUGACUCGAAAGCGUGGGUAGCAAACAGG